Molecule: ribosomal RNA, 378 nt
Filed under: uncultured bacterium
Lineage: Bacteria
Description: bacterial SSU rRNA
Rfam family: Bacterial small subunit ribosomal RNA
Source: RNAcentral
GACGAACGCUGGCGGCGUGCUUAACACAUGCAAGUCGAGCGGUAAGGCCCUUUCGGGGGUACACGAGCGGCGAACGGGUGAGUAACACGUGGGUGACCUGCCCUUAGCUCUGGGAUAAGCCUGGGAAACUGGGUCUAAUACCGGAUAUGACUCCAUGACGCAUGUUGUGGGGUGGAAAGCCUUGUGCGGCUAGGGGAUGGGCCCGCGGCCUAUCAGCUUGUUGGUGGGGUGACGGCCACCAAGGCGACGACGGGUAGCCGGCCUGAGAGGGCGACCGGCCACACUGGGACUGAGACACGGCCCAGACUCCUACGGGAGGCAGCAGUGGGGAAUCUUGCGCAAUGGGCGAAAGCCUGACGCAGCGACGCCGCGUGGGGA